UUUCAACUCUGAACUCUUAAAUUUUGUACAUAGGAUAGUCUCUUCAUCUUCUCCCCAUUUCUUUAAUUUCAAAAUCUCUCCCUUCAUUUUUCAAAAUCUUCUUUGUGUGAACUACUUUUGUUCUAAACUUUGACCAUUUUUGCAAAAAGGUAGAAACUUUGGUCUUAUGCCAUUGCAUUUUCAAAAUUCUUUCCUUAAAUCAAACUUGUGAAUAAAUGUAAUUAUACUUGACUUAAACUUUCGAAAAU
Molecule: long non-coding RNA, 248 nt
Filed under: Lathyrus oleraceus (garden pea)
Lineage: Eukaryota; Viridiplantae; Streptophyta; Magnoliopsida; Fabales; Fabaceae
Description: Pisum sativum (pea) long non-coding RNA (PSAT_LNC015667)
Source: RNAcentral